UGGGGGCUCCCUGACCCCCAUGAUGGGCCGACCCCCUCACAACAGCAAGACCCUGCCCCCAGCUCACCUGGUAGGAGGGGCCGCCGUGCGCCGAGCCGCACUCCUUCGGGUGCCGGCACCUGGCCCCUGCCCACAGGUGCGCGUUAUCGUUGGCGCAGCCCUCGGAGCAGGCAGGGCGGCCGCGGGGACGCAGAGCUGCACCCGGCGCGGGUCCAAGCGUUGCUGGUAGCUGCUGUGCUUAGGACACGUGGCGGCUAUGCAGGGAGGAGAAAAAGCGCGGGUGGACCUGGGUCCCAUUAACCUGGACAGACACCUCCAAGAUGAGCAUGAGGGGGCUGCUGGAUCUGUUCUCCUUUCACAGCUGUAUCCUGAAGAAUGGCAGUGAGCCGGAAGAGCCACAGGAUUCGGCAAAGACGGACACACAGAGCCCAGCUCACGGCAAACCUCAAUGGAUAUUUGUUGGAAGAAUUAAUGAAUGUGUCGAAGCCUUUUCUAUAGCACAUAUUUGUUCAACUUUGGCAUCCACUACAUGCCGGGAACAUCCCAGGGCCUGGGGACACAGCAAUGACCAAGACAGAGAUCCCUGACCUCAUAAAACAGAUGUUCUAGGGCAGACGUUGACAAGCUUCACCCUUGGGCCCAAAUCUGGCCCUCCACCUGUUUUGGCACAGCCUACAAUCUAAAUAGUCUUUACAUGUUUAAGUGGUUAGAAAAAAAGAAACCAAAAGAGGAAAUUUUGUGAGGUGUGAAAAUCAUGUAAAAUUCAAAUUCCGGUGUCUAUAAAUAAUGUCUUCAUGAAAGCCA
Molecule: long non-coding RNA, 804 nt
Filed under: Homo sapiens (human)
Lineage: Eukaryota; Metazoa; Chordata; Mammalia; Primates; Hominidae
Description: HSALNT0397588
Source: RNAcentral